GACUCAAAAAUCGAAUAAUAAAAAAAUAAAAAUCAAAAAUCGAUCCAAAAAAAAGAGGAACCGAACUAAAAAUUUCAGUCUGAUUCGGUUUGGUUAUUCGGUUUACACAUUUAUAUGCAUAAAUGCUAAGCUAAAGGUAAUAGGAUGUAAAUAAAUGAAAGUGCUCCUCCAGUAUGAUGUUCAGUAGUUAAUACUAUUUGAUUCUC
Molecule: long non-coding RNA, 206 nt
Filed under: Elaeis guineensis (African oil palm)
Lineage: Eukaryota; Viridiplantae; Streptophyta; Magnoliopsida; Arecales; Arecaceae
Description: long non-coding RNA (EGUI_LNC056270)
Source: RNAcentral